UUGUGGCGGCGUGCUACCAUGCAGUCGACGCGAAAGGGGCUUCGGCCCUGAGUAGAGUGGCGAACGGGUGAGUAACGCGUGGGUGACCUACCUUCCAGUGGGGGAUAACGUUUCGAAAGGAACGCUAAUACCGCAUAACAUCCCGCCUUUAGACAGGCGGAGAUCAAAGCCGGGGACCGCAAGGCCUGGCGCUUGAAGAGGGGCCCGCGUCCGAUUAGCUAGUUGGUGGGGUAACGGCUCACCAAGGCGACGAUCGGUAGCCGGCCUGAGAGGGCGGACGGCCACACUGGGACUGAGACACGGCCCAGACUCCUACGGGAGGCAGCAGUGGGGAAUUGUUCGCAAUGGGCGCAAGCCUGACGACGCAACGCCGCGUGGAGGAUGAAGGUCUUCGGAUUGUAAACUCCUGUUGAUUGGGACGAAUGUCCCUGGGGCUAACACCACCAGGGAGUGACGGUACCGAUUGAGGAAGCCCCGGCUAACUCUGUGCCAGCAGCCGCGGUAAUACAGAGGGGGCGAGCGUUGUUCGGAAUUACUGGGCGUAAAGGGCGCGUAGGUGGCCACCUAAGUCAGACGUGAAAUCCCUCGGCUCAACCGGGGAACUGCGUCUGAUACUGGGUGGCUUGAAUCCGGGAGAGGGAUGUGGAAUUCCAGGUGUAGCGGUGAAAUGCGUAGAUAUCUGGAGGAACACCGGUGGCGAAGGCGGCAUCCUGGACCGGUAUUGACGCUGAGGCGCGAAAGCCAGGGGAGCAAACGGGAUUAGAUACCCCGGUAGUCCUGGCCCUAAACGAUGAAUGCUUGGUGUGGCGGGUAUCGAUCCCUGCCGUGCCGAAGCUAACGCAUUAAGCAUUCCGCCUGGGGAGUACGGCCGCAAGGCUAAAACUCAAAGGAAUUGACGG
This 899-nucleotide ribosomal RNA is filed under the name uncultured Acidobacteriota bacterium. Its description in RNAcentral is "bacterial SSU rRNA". It matches the Rfam family "Bacterial small subunit ribosomal RNA", at positions 36 to 916 of the family's 1533-position model. The record is from RNAcentral. Lineage: Bacteria; Pseudomonadati; Acidobacteriota.